Molecule: ribosomal RNA, 497 nt
Filed under: uncultured bacterium
Lineage: Bacteria
Description: partial 16S ribosomal RNA
Rfam family: Bacterial small subunit ribosomal RNA
Source: RNAcentral
GAUGAACGCUGGCGGCGUGCCUAAUACAUGCCAGUCGAGCGAACGGACGAGAAGCUUGCUUCUCUGAUGUUAGCGGCGGACGGGUGAGUAACACGUGGAUAACCUACCUAUAAGACUGGGAUAACUUCGGGAAACCGGAGCUAAUACCGGAUAAUAUUUUGAACCGCAUGGUUCAAAAGUGAAAGACGGUCUUGCUGUCACUUAUAGAUGGAUCCGCGCUGCAUUAGCUAGUUGGUAAGGUAACGGCUUACCAAGGCGACGAUGCAUAGCCGACCUGAGAGGGUGAUCGGCCACACUGGAACUGAGACACGGUCCAGACUCCUACGGGAGGCAGCAGUAGGGAAUCUUCCGCAAUGGGCGAAAGCCUGACGGAGCAACGCCGCGUGAGUGAUGAAGGUCUUCGGAUCGUAAAACUCUGUUAUUAGGGAAGAACAUAUGUGUAAGUAACUGUGCACAUCUUGACGGUACCUAAUCAGAAAGCCACGGCUAACUACGUG